CCAAAUUACACUCACGAAUGGACAAAAUUUCCUCACUGCCCAACUCACAGAAAUCUCCAUAUCCACCCAUUUCGAGUCUCGGAAGGGAGAAAGCAAGCUCCGGUCGGCAUGUGCUUGAAGAUCUCCGGCCGCAAGGAGCCCUAGCGCACUCGCACAUGCAAAUGAAUUUCACAAAUCUUGUGAAAACUCUCAUUUCCACCUAAUCUUAGUCUCGUCUGGUAAGCGUAUAAAUGCAUAAUGUUGAUUUAGAUUCCAUAUUUACAGAUCAGAUGUCUGUUGAUAAAAAAUCUGGAAAAAAAAAUCGUAUCUGUUUUAGUUAUAUUUAUCGUUCUCUCCAUAUACCUGUGAUUUUUUCUUUUUUUUUCCCUUGGAUUGAAGAUUUUACCAGUGCUCUGUUAUUUUUAUAUUUGAAAUGUUAAACGUAGAAGACCACAUUUGAAUUGGUAGCAAUCAAAUUUCUCUACACACGAGUUUGGAUUUUUGCUUCACUAUUGUGGAUCUAUGUAAUAGCUGCUGGGCGCAAUUAGAAGUUUCAUUAUCAUGUUUAGUUUUUCCAUUAUCUCCUGCCUCUCAAUUUUUAUUUUUUAUUUUUUGCCAUGUUGAGAUAAAUCGAAUUACAGGAGUUUGGUCUUUAUUGAAGUAAGAUUUGCUAGCAUUGAUAUUGGAUCUUUGGUGAAACAUAGUAUUUGGUUGAAUCUUUUUCUGGGGCCAAAACGUGUCUCCUAACUUAUUAAAUCCGGUGUGUCAUCUAGAUUGGUCCCCUCAAUGCCAUCAGGCAUUUCCUACAUAAAGACCAUGUGGACGUUUGUAACCAUUUUCGCACCAAUGUUUCAGUAUAAUCAGUGGAUAAUUAAUCUGAGUUUCACAUGUGCAUCAUAUAAAUUGGUGUUUGAUGAUGUUGGCUUAAGUUUGGAACCUGCCUCUCUAUUACAAUUUGCUGGUGUACCACUAGGAUCAUGAGAAACUGUGGUUGGAAUACUUAUAAAUUUCUUAUUGAUGCAUAAUAUUGUUUGCCAACAAAUUCCUUUGUGUUAUUUUCCUUCGAACAACAGUGUUUUCUAUUUGAGUUGAUGCUCUGUGAUAUGUUCGCAUCGCAAAAUGGGCUAUAAGAAUUGUGGAAUCUGUCACAGUUGUAGAGUUGAGGGGCAUUUCUUAGCUGACUGUCCAUGGAAACGCCAACGCCCAAAUUGGGAGCACAGAUUUGAGCAAAGUUUCAUGGUGGAGGAGACUAAAAAUAUAGGGCGAUUAUUUUUUUGCUACAGUAAGAAAUGUGGAUUUUGGAAAUGGGUUUUCAAAGAAAAUUAAAGCAGCCAAUUGUCUAGAGCUAGCGCUUCUUUGGUUAACUUUGCAACUAACGAAACAUCUGAACAAAUAUCACACAUGUUUCAAUCUCAAGUUUGCAUCUCUGUGAAAGAAGAUCUACAUAUUAUGGUGAACGUAAAGGUGUGCAAGAAAUUGCCAAAAUGAAUUGAGAAGGAAAGGGGUCGACCUGAUUGGUAGCUAUUAAUUGAAGUAAUAGUUAUUACAUAAUCUUUUGUACGAGGUCGGACUACUUUGAGCGAAGGAAUGUAAACUAUGUUUGUAAAUUACGUUAAUUUAUGAAAUGUUAUAUUUCAACUCUUUUUUUUAACAUCAA
This 1636-nucleotide long non-coding RNA is filed under the name Olea europaea subsp. europaea. Lineage: Eukaryota; Viridiplantae; Streptophyta; Magnoliopsida; Lamiales; Oleaceae. The record is from RNAcentral.